RNAcentral lists this ribosomal RNA (780 nucleotides) under Neocallimastix frontalis. Its description in RNAcentral is "partial large subunit ribosomal RNA". It matches the Rfam family "Eukaryotic large subunit ribosomal RNA", at positions 38 to 667 of the family's 3401-position model. The record is from RNAcentral. Lineage: Eukaryota; Fungi; Neocallimastigomycota; Neocallimastigomycetes; Neocallimastigales; Neocallimastigaceae.
GCAUAUCAAUAAGCGGAGGAAAAGAAACUAACAGGGAUUCCCUUAGUAACGGCGAGUGAAGCGGGAAGAGCUCAAAUUUGAAAUCUUCAAGGUUCUACCUUGACGAAUUGUAGUUUAAAGAAGUGUUUUCUGUUAGAUGAGUAGCAAAAGUUCCUUGGAAUGGGACAUCAUAGAGGGCGAGAAUCCCGUAUUUGGUUAUUCAUUCUAGCUUUGUGAUACACUUUCAAAGAGCCGGAUUGUUUGGGAAUGCAGUCCAAAAUGGGUGGUAAAUUUCAUCUAAAGCUAAAUAUUGGCGAGAGACCGAUAGCGAACAAGUACCGUGAGGGAAAGAUGAAAAGAACUUUGAAAAGAGAGUUAAACAGUACGUGAAAUUGUCAAAAGGGAAGCGUUUGACACCAGUGUUGUUUUUCCGAAAAUCAAUUACGAAUGGCUUGAUUUUGUGUUGUAUUGACCUUAUCAGCUUUCUUCACUUUUUUCGAGUCUUUCUUAAUGCACUUUUCGGUUAACAAGUCAACAUCAAUUUCUUUUGUUGUAAAAGAGUAUUCGGAAGGUGGCCUUCUUUUCGGAGAAAGUGUUUAUAGCCCUAUACUUCUACAAUCGGAGAGAUUGAGGUCUGCAGCGUAGAUCCUUCGGGGUUAGAUACACUUGUGCUAAGUUGUAGCUUUUCAUAGACAACUUGUUGACUAUGUUUAGUCAUGCGGCUUACUCGCUUGUGCUAUUUUACCUACGCUUAGGAUGUUGACAAAAUGGUUUUAAACGACCCGUCUUGAAACACGGACC